This is a non-coding RNA of Acanthosepion pharaonis, 112 nucleotides long. NCBI's taxonomy places the organism in Eukaryota, Metazoa, Mollusca, Cephalopoda, Sepiida, Sepiidae. The record is from the annotation of a GenBank genome assembly.
UACGGCCAUAUCACAUUGAAAUAUCGGUUCUCGUCAGAUCACCGAAGUUAAGCAACGUCGAGUCUGGUGGGUAUCUAGAUGGGUGACCGCUUGGGAAUACCAGGUGCUGUAA